This 163-nucleotide small nuclear RNA is filed under the name Peromyscus maniculatus bairdii (prairie deer mouse). Its description in RNAcentral is "U1 spliceosomal RNA (ENSPEMG00000002282.2)". It matches the Rfam family "U1 spliceosomal RNA". Rfam says of the family: U1 is a small nuclear RNA (snRNA) component of the spliceosome (involved in pre-mRNA splicing). Lineage: Eukaryota; Metazoa; Chordata; Mammalia; Rodentia; Cricetidae. The record is from Rfam by way of RNAcentral.
ACAAUCACCAUCAGGGAGGAUACCAUGAUCAAGAAGGUGGUUUUCCCAGGGUGAGGCUCUCCCAUUGCACUCUGGGUAUGCAGGCUCUUGCGAUUUCUCCAAAUACAGGAGAUUCAACUGCAUGAUUUGUGGUAGUAGGGGACAGCAUUUGAGCUUUUCCCUU